RNAcentral lists this ribosomal RNA (530 nucleotides) under Propebrevitrichia stuckenbergi. Its description in RNAcentral is "partial 16S ribosomal RNA". It matches the Rfam family "Bacterial large subunit ribosomal RNA", at positions 1809 to 2606 of the family's 2925-position model. The record is from RNAcentral. Lineage: Eukaryota; Metazoa; Arthropoda; Insecta; Diptera; Scenopinidae.
AAAAACAUGUCCUUUAGAUAUUUAUUUAAGGUCUAACCUGCCCACUGAAAAAUUAAAUGGCCGCAGUAUUUUAACUGUGCAAAGGUAGCAUAAUCAUUAGUCUUUUAAUUGAAGGCUUGUAUGAAUGGUUGGACGAGAUAUAUACUGUCUCAUAUAAAAUUAAUAUUAUAAUUUUAUUUUUUAGUUAAAAAGCUAAAAUUUUGUUGAAAGACGAGAAGACCCUAUAGAUCUUUAUAUAUAAAUUAUUUAUUAUUUUUUAGUUGUUAAUUUUAUUAAUUAAUUUAUAUAUUUUGUUGGGGUGACAUUAAAAUUUAUAUAACUUUUAAUUAUAAUUUUAACAUUUAUUUAUGAAAUUUUGAUCCAUUAUUAGUGAUUAUAAAAUUAAGUUACCUUAGGGAUAACAGCGUAAUUUUUUUGGAGAGUUCUUAUCGAUAAAAAAGGUUGCGACCUCGAUGUUGGAUUAAAAUUAAUGCUAAAUGUAGCAGUUUAGUUAUUUAAGUCUGUUCGACUUUUAAUAUUUUACAUGAUCU